AUGUUGCCUCACUAUGGUCGUGCCUACUCCACUGAACUUUGACUAGAGGGAUCUCUUUAUUCCUUAACACGUGAACUUUCCUAUCCAAAAUAAUCGUCGGGUGCUCAUCAUAAGUUAAGUCCUUGUCAAGCUCCAGUUCAAUGUGACUCACAAUAUUGCUUGGGUCGUGGACGUAUUUCCUCAAAGACGAGACAUGGAAGACGUUAUGUAUCGAAGUCAGGCUUGGCGGCAAUGCUAACCGAUAUGCUACUUCACCAACUCUCUCGAGAAUAUCAAAGGGUCCAAUGUAACG
This 292-nucleotide long non-coding RNA is filed under the name Salvia miltiorrhiza (redroot sage). RNAcentral describes it as "long non-coding RNA (SMIL_LNC009980)". Lineage: Eukaryota; Viridiplantae; Streptophyta; Magnoliopsida; Lamiales; Lamiaceae. The record is from RNAcentral.